GUCAGAUAGCUCAGUUGGUAGAGCAGAGGACUGAA
Molecule: transfer RNA, 35 nt
Filed under: Elymus sibiricus
Lineage: Eukaryota; Viridiplantae; Streptophyta; Magnoliopsida; Poales; Poaceae
Description: partial tRNA-Phe
Source: RNAcentral